This 270-nucleotide ribosomal RNA is filed under the name uncultured archaeon. RNAcentral describes it as "partial 16S ribosomal RNA". It matches the Rfam family "Archaeal small subunit ribosomal RNA", at positions 477 to 747 of the family's 1478-position model. The record is from RNAcentral.
CCGCAGCUCAAGUGGUAGCCGCUAUUAUUGGGCCUAAAACGUUCGUAGCCGGUUUAGUAAAUGCUUGGGUAAAUUGUGUCGCUUAACGAUACGAAUACCGGGUAGACUGCUAAACUUGGGACCGGGAGAGGCUAGAGGUACUCCUGGGGUAGAGGUGAAAUUCUGUAAUCCUGGGGGGACCACCAGUGGCGAAGGCGUCUAGCUAGAACGGGUCUGACGGUGAGGAACGAAGCCCUGGGGCGCAAACCGGAUUAGAGACCCGAGUAGUCC